This 1433-nucleotide ribosomal RNA is filed under the name Bacillus subtilis. Its description in RNAcentral is "bacterial SSU rRNA". It matches the Rfam family "Bacterial small subunit ribosomal RNA". The record is from RNAcentral. Lineage: Bacteria; Bacillati; Bacillota; Bacilli; Caryophanales; Bacillaceae.
CGGGCUGGCGGCGUGCUAUACAUGCAGUCGAGCGGACAGAUGGGAGCUUGCUCCCUGAUGUUAGCGGCGGACGGGUGAGUAACACGUGGGUAACCUGCCUGUAAGACUGGGAUAACUCCGGGAAACCGGGGCUAAUACCGGAUGGUUGUUUGAACCGCAUGGUUCAAACAUAAAAGGUGGCUUCGGCUACCACUUACAGAUGGACCCGCGGCGCAUUAGCUAGUUGGUGAGGUAACGGCUCACCAAGGCAACGAUGCGUAGCCGACUGAGAGGGUGAUCGGCCACACUGGACUGAGACACGGCCCAGACUCCUACGGGAGGCAGCAGUAGGGAUCUCGCAUGGACGAAAGUCUGACGGAGCAACGCCGCGUGAGUGAUGAAGGUUUCGGAUCGUAAAGCUCUGUGUAGGGAAGAACAAGUACCGUUCGAAUAGGGCGGUACCUUGACGGUACCUAACCAGAAAGCCACGGCUAACUACGUGCCAGCAGCCGCGGUAAUACGUAGGUGGCAAGCGUUGUCCGGAAUUAUUGGGCGUAAAGGGCUCGCAGGCGGUUUCUUAAGUCUGAUGUGAAAGCCCCCGGCUCAACCGGGGAGGGUCAUUGGAAACUGGGGAACUUGAGUGCAGAAGAGGAGAGUGGAAUUCCACGUGUAGCGGUGAAAUGCGUAGAGAUGUGGAGGAACACCAGUGGCGAAGGCGACUCUCUGGUGUGUAACUGACGCUGAGGAGCGAAAGCGUGGGGAGCGAACAGGAUUAGAUACCCUGGUAGUCCACGCCGUAAAACUCCGCCUGGGGAGUACGGUCGCAAGACUGAAACUCAAAGGAAUUGACGGGGGCCCGCAACUCCGCCUGGGGAGUACGGUCGCAAGACUGAAACUCAAAGGAAUUGACUGGGGCCCGCACAAGCGGUGGAGCAUGUGGUUUAAUUCGAAGCAACGCGAGAACCUUACCAGGUCUUGACAUCCUCUGACAAUCCUAGAGAUAGGACGUCCCCUUCGGGGGCAGAGUGACAGUGUGCAUGGUUGUCGUCAGCUCGUGUCGUGAGAUGUGGGUUAGUCCCGCACGAGCGCAACCCUGAUCUUAGUUGCCAGCAUUCAGUGGGCACUCUAGGUGACUGCCGGUGACAACCGGAGAGUGGGGAUGACGUCAAAUCAUCAUGCCCUUAUGACCUGGGCUACACACGUGCUCACAAUGGACAGAACAAAGGGCAGCGAAACCGCGAGGUUAAGCCAAUCCCACAAAUCUGUUCUCAGUUCGGAUCGCAGUCUGCAACUCGACUGCGUGAAGCUGGAAUCGCUAGUAAUCGCGGAUCAGCAUGCCGCGGUGAAUACGUUCCCGGGCCUUGUACACACCGCCCGUCACACCACGAGAGUUUGUAACACCCGAAGUCGGUGAGGUAACCUUUUAGGAGCCAGCCGCCGAAGUGACAGAUGUG